Molecule: ribosomal RNA, 253 nt
Filed under: uncultured bacterium
Lineage: Bacteria
Description: partial 16S ribosomal RNA
Rfam family: Bacterial small subunit ribosomal RNA
Source: RNAcentral
UACAGAGGUCCCGAGCGUUGUUCGGAUUCACUGGGCGUAAAGGGUGCGUAGGUGGUUGUGCAAGUCUGAUGUGAAAUCUCCGGGCUUAACCCGGAAAUGGCAUUGGAAACUGCAUGGCUAGAGUGUUGGAGGGGGGACUGGAAUUCUCGGUGUAGCAGUGAAAUGCGUAGAUAUCGAGAGGAACACCGGUGGCGAAGGCGGCAUCCUGGACCGAGAUUGACGCUGAGGCGCGAAAGCUAGGGUAGCAAACGGG